Molecule: ribosomal RNA, 458 nt
Filed under: uncultured bacterium
Lineage: Bacteria
Description: partial 16S ribosomal RNA
Rfam family: Bacterial small subunit ribosomal RNA
Source: RNAcentral
CCUACGGGAGGCAGCAGUGAGGAAUAUUGGUCAAUGGGCGAGAGCCUGAACCAGCCAAGUCGCGUGAGGGAGUACUGCCCUAUGGGUUGUAAACCUCUUUUGUCGGGGAGCAAAAGCCGGACGUGUCCGGCUGUGAGAGUACCCGAAGAAAAAGCAUCGGCUAACUCCGUGCCAGCAGCCGCGGUAAUACGGAGGAUGCGAGCGUUAUCCGGAUUUAUUGGGUUUAAAGGGUGCGCAGGCGGAUUUUUAAGUCAGCGGUAAAAUCGUGGGGCUCAACCCCAUCCAGCCGGUGAAACUGGGGAUCUAGAGUGUGCGAGAGGUAUGCGGAAUGCGUGGUGUAGCGGUGAAAUGCAUAGAUAUCACGCAGAACUCCGAUUGCGAAGGCAGCAUACCGGUGCACAACUGACGCUCAGGCACGAAAGCGUGGGUAUCGAACAGGAUUAGAUACCCCGGUAGUC